AUCAGUAUUGCACCAAUGUUUAAAGUAACUAAUAGGCAUUAUCGAUAUUUGAUGAGGUUGAUAAGUAAACAGUGUAAA
RNAcentral lists this transfer RNA (78 nucleotides) under Chloropicon maureeniae. Lineage: Eukaryota; Viridiplantae; Chlorophyta; Chloropicophyceae; Chloropicales; Chloropicaceae. The record is from RNAcentral.